CCUACGUGAGGCUGCAGUGAGGAAUAUUGGUCAAUGGGCGCGAGCCUGAACCAGCCAAGUCGCGUGCGGGAAGACGGUCCUAUGGAUUGUAAACCUCUUUUGUCGGGGAGUAAACGACGCCACGCGUGUCGUUCCGAGAUUACCCGACGAAAAAGCAUCGGCUAACUCCGUGCCAGCAGCCGCGGUAAUACGGAGGAUGCGAGCGUUAUCCGGAUUUAUUGGGUUUAAGGGGUACGUAGGCGGCCUUUUAAGUCAGAGGUGAAAGUCCGUGGCUCAACCAUGGAAUUGCCGUUGAAACUGGGGGGCUAGAGUAUGUUUGCGGUAGGCGGAAUGCGUGGUGUAGCGGUGAAAUGCUUAGAUAUCACACAGAACCCCGAUUGCGAAGGCAGCUUGCCAAGCUAUGACUGACGCUGAGGCACGAAAGCGUGGGGAGCAAACAGGAUUAGAUACCCUAGUAGUC
This 460-nucleotide ribosomal RNA is filed under the name uncultured bacterium. RNAcentral's name for it is "partial 16S ribosomal RNA". It matches the Rfam family "Bacterial small subunit ribosomal RNA", at positions 338 to 795 of the family's 1533-position model. The record is from RNAcentral.